AAUAAUGUAGGUAAGAUCCUAGAUACUACAUCGAACAGGACUUACGUUUUGUCUCAUUGUGUGAUCGAAAUACUUGAUGAAAGUGCUGUAGUAUCCCAAAAAUGAGUCGAAACCUCGGUGACACGGCGUGUGGUCUACCGAAUAGUAACCGACGUGCCAUUUUCCGACUAAUCUUGUCGUGUACCCCAAAUUUUUCAGGUGGCGUGGGAGCAAAGGGGUUCCCAACGGGAUUCCCCAGCGUUCGCCAGCUACCAUUGGGAACCCUUGCAUUCCUAGGAAUUCGUAGUCGAAGG
RNAcentral lists this unclassified non-coding RNA (293 nucleotides) under Athalia rosae (coleseed sawfly). RNAcentral describes it as "misc RNA ENSAEAG00005007982.1". Lineage: Eukaryota; Metazoa; Arthropoda; Insecta; Hymenoptera; Athaliidae. The record is from RNAcentral.